RNAcentral lists this ribosomal RNA (253 nucleotides) under uncultured bacterium. RNAcentral's name for it is "partial 16S ribosomal RNA". It matches the Rfam family "Bacterial small subunit ribosomal RNA", at positions 524 to 776 of the family's 1533-position model. The record is from RNAcentral.
UACGGGGGGGGCAAGCGUUGUUCGGAAUUACUGGGGGUAAAGGGCGCGUAGGCGGCCUUCUAAGUCGGACGUGAAAUCCCUCGGCUUAACCGAGGAACUGCGUCCGAUACUGAAAGGCUUGAAUCCGGGAGAGGGAUGUGGAAUUCCAGGUGUAGCGGUGAAAUGCGUAGAUAUCUGGAGGAACACCGGUGGCGAAGGCGGCAUCCUGGACCGGUAUUGACGCUGAGGCGCGAAAGCUAGGGGAGCAAACGGG